This 469-nucleotide ribosomal RNA is filed under the name uncultured bacterium. Its description in RNAcentral is "bacterial SSU rRNA". It matches the Rfam family "Bacterial small subunit ribosomal RNA", at positions 28 to 507 of the family's 1533-position model. The record is from RNAcentral.
GAUGAACGCUGGCGGCGUGCCUAAUACAUGCAAGUCGAACGAGAAAGAGGAAGUCUUCGGAUGGACUCUGGAGAGUGGCGCACGGGUGAGUAACACGUAGAUGACCUGCCCCGGAGAGGGGGAUAACCGUUGGAAACGACAGCUAAUACCCCAUAAGCUCACGGUUUUCAGAAAGCUGUGAGAAAAGGUUCCGGCGCUUCGGGAGGGGUCUGCGGCCCAUCAGCUGGUUGGUAGGGUAACGGCCUACCAAGGCGAAGACGGGUAGGGGGCCUGAGAGGGUGGUCCUCCACACGGGAACUGAGACACGGUCCCGACUCCUACGGGAGGCAGCAGUAAGGAAUAUUGCCCAAUGGACGCAAGUCUGAGGCAGCAACGCCGCGUGCCCGAAGAAGGUCUUCGGAUCGUAAAGGGCUUUUCUGUGGGAAGAGAAAGGACAGUACCGCAGGAAUAAGUGUCGGCUAACUACGUG